UUUUUUCAAGAUAUUACUAUG
Molecule: non-coding RNA, 21 nt
Filed under: Caenorhabditis elegans
Lineage: Eukaryota; Metazoa; Nematoda; Chromadorea; Rhabditida; Rhabditidae
Source: RNAcentral